AUAAACGCUUUCAGUUUUAGAAUGUCAUCCGCGUAUAACGCAAUAAAUACAACUUUCAGCAACGGAUCUCUUGGCUCUCGCAUCGAUGGAGAACGCAGCGAAAUGCGAUAAGUAAUGUGAAUUGCAGAAUUCAGUGAAUCAUCGAAUCUUUGAACGCAUCUUGCGCCCUUUGGUAUUCCGAAGGGCAUGCCUGUUUGAGUGUCGUGGUAUUCUCAAUACCCCAAAUCUUUGCGGAUAAGGGUGUGUUGGACUUGGAGGUUUUUGCAGGUAAUGAUUGUAUUACCAGCUCCUCUUAAAUGCAUUAGCAGAGAUAAUACUGCUACUCUCCAGUGUGAUAAUUGUCUACACUGUUAGUAGUGCGGUAUAACAAAAUGUCUAUGCUUCUAAUCGUCUUCGGACAACUUUUGACAAUCUGACCUCAAAUCAGGUAGGACUACCCGCUGAACUUAAGCAUAUCAAUAAGCGGAGGA
This 470-nucleotide ribosomal RNA is filed under the name uncultured fungus. RNAcentral's name for it is "eukaryotic LSU rRNA". The stretch from base 51 to 204 matches the Rfam family "5.8S ribosomal RNA". Lineage: Eukaryota; Fungi. The record is from RNAcentral.